AAAUUGAAGAGUUUGAUCAUGGCUCAGAUUGAACGCUGGCGGCAGGCCUAACACAUGCAAGUCGAACGGUAACAGGAAGCAGCUUGCUGCUUUGCUGACGAGUGGCGGACGGGUGAGUAAUGUCUGGGAAGCUGCCUGAUGGAGGGGGAUAACUACUGGAAACGGUGGCUAAUACCGCAUAACGUCGCAAGACCAAAGAGGGGGACCUUCGGGCCUCUUGCCAUCAGAUGUGCCCAGAUGGGAUUAGCUUGUUGGUGAGGUAACGGCUCACCAAGGCGACGAUCCCUAGCUGGUCUGAGAGGAUGACCAGCCACACUGGAACUGAGACACGGUCCAGACUCCUACGGGAGGCAGCAGUGGGGAAUAUUGCACAAUGGGCGCAAGCCUGAUGCAGCCAUGCCGCGUGUAUGAAGAAGGCCUUCGGGUUGUAAAGUACUUUCAGCGGGGAGGAAGGUGUUGUGGUUAAUAACCACAGCAAUUGACGUUACCCGCAGAA
This 496-nucleotide ribosomal RNA is filed under the name Salmonella enterica. Its description in RNAcentral is "bacterial SSU rRNA". It matches the Rfam family "Bacterial small subunit ribosomal RNA", at positions 1 to 486 of the family's 1533-position model. Lineage: Bacteria; Pseudomonadati; Pseudomonadota; Gammaproteobacteria; Enterobacterales; Enterobacteriaceae. The record is from RNAcentral.